RNAcentral lists this long non-coding RNA (365 nucleotides) under Amborella trichopoda. Its description in RNAcentral is "long non-coding RNA (ATRI_LNC005275)". Lineage: Eukaryota; Viridiplantae; Streptophyta; Magnoliopsida; Amborellales; Amborellaceae. The record is from RNAcentral.
UCUCUCUCUCUCUCUCUCUCUCUCUCUCUCUCUCUCUCAUAAUGUUGUUCCCCAUGCUUUCCCUUCUCUCUCUCAUCAUGCAUGUCCUUAGUUUUGCAUGAAUGCCACUUGUUCCAUACUGCCCUUUCGUCUUUUUUUAAAUAGAACCCUUCCCUUCCAUCUCAAGAGCUUUGGCCCUCUCUCCCUCCCACGUUUUGCUCUCUCUCCCUCAAAAAGAAUACUUAGAGCUUCAAGCUUUGGGAGCUUGACCUUGAGGAGGAGCUUGGUGCAGGGUAAACUUGGAGUUGUUGUGAAAUAAGUGGAUCUCUACCCCCUUGCACCAAGUUGUAUGAGGCAUGAAUUAAAGCAUGAAUAAAGUUAAAUGG